This 275-nucleotide ribosomal RNA is filed under the name uncultured bacterium. RNAcentral's name for it is "partial 16S ribosomal RNA". It matches the Rfam family "Bacterial small subunit ribosomal RNA", at positions 82 to 354 of the family's 1533-position model. The record is from RNAcentral.
CCGUUGCCGGCGACCGGCGCACGGGUGAGUAACACGUAUGCAACCUGCCCGUGGCAGGGGGAUAAGCGGGGGAAACCCGUCUAAUACCGCGUAACGCGGCCUAGGGACAUCCCAAGGCCGCCAAAGGGAGCAAUCCCGGCCACGGAUGGGCAUGCGGCGCAUUAGCUAGUCGGCGGGGUAACGGCCCACCGAGGCGACGAUGCGUAGGGGUUCUGAGAGGAAGGCCCCCCACACUGGUACUGAGACACGGACCAGACUCCUACGGGAGGCAGCAG